CUCGGGCCCUGCUGGUUUUCUCCAGCGGCAGGGACUUAAAAAAGCUGGAGGAGGGGUGCGCACGAGUUUGUCGUUGGACGCUUGUGCAUCAUCCUUAAAACAACGACUAAGCAUGUAGUCGCCUUAAUACGAACGACUUACGGACCCGGGUUCGACUCCCGGCGCCUCCACCA
Molecule: transfer-messenger RNA, 173 nt
Filed under: Pseudomonadota bacterium
Lineage: Bacteria; Pseudomonadati; Pseudomonadota
Description: Proteobacteria bacterium partial transfer-messenger RNA
Rfam family: transfer-messenger RNA
About the family: Bacterial tmRNA, also known as 10Sa RNA or SsrA, is named for its dual tRNA and mRNA-like properties.
Source: RNAcentral